AACGAACGCUGGCGGCAUGCCUAACACAUGCAAGUCGAACGAGACCUUCGGGUCUAGUGGCGCACGGGUGCGUAACGCGUGGGAACCUGCCCUUAGGUUCGGAAUAACUCCCCGAAAGAGGUGCUAAUACCGGUUAAUGUCUUCGGACCAAAGAUUUAUCGCCUUUGGAUGGGCCCGCGUUGGAUUAGCUAGUUGGUAGGGUAAAAGCCUACCAAGGCGACGAUCCAUAGCUGGUCUGAGAGGAGGAUCAGCCACACUGGGACUGAGACACGGCCCAGACGCCUGCGGGAGGCAGCAGUGGGGAAUAUUGGACAAUGGGCGAAAGCCUGAUCCAGCAAGGCCGCGUGAGUGAUGAAGGGCUUAGGGUUGUAAAGCUCUUUUACCCGGGAUGAUAAUGACAGUACCGGGAGAAUAAGCUCCGGCUAACUCCGU
RNAcentral lists this ribosomal RNA (432 nucleotides) under uncultured bacterium. Its description in RNAcentral is "partial 16S ribosomal RNA". It matches the Rfam family "Bacterial small subunit ribosomal RNA", at positions 29 to 506 of the family's 1533-position model. The record is from RNAcentral.